RNAcentral lists this ribosomal RNA (463 nucleotides) under uncultured Acholeplasma sp. Its description in RNAcentral is "bacterial SSU rRNA". It matches the Rfam family "Bacterial small subunit ribosomal RNA", at positions 920 to 1382 of the family's 1533-position model. The record is from RNAcentral. Lineage: Bacteria; Bacillati; Mycoplasmatota; Mollicutes; Acholeplasmatales; Acholeplasmataceae.
CCCGCACAAGCAGCGGAGCGUGUGGUUUAAUUCGAUGCAACACGAAGAACCUUUACCUGGGUUUGACAUGUUGGUAGUAGUGAAGUGAAAGCGGAACGAUCCUUCGGGAAGCCAUCACAGGUGCUGCAUGGCUGUCGUCAGCUCGUGCCGUGAGAUGUUGGGUUAAGUCCCGCAACGAGCGCAACCCCUAUUGCUAGUUACCAUCAUUAAGUUGGGGACUCUAGCGAGACUGCCAGUGAUAAACUGGAGGAAGGUGGGGAUGACGUCAAAUCAUCAUGCCCCUUAUGACCUGGGCUACAAACGUGAUACAAUGGCUGGAACAAAGGGAUGCGAAGCAGUGAUGUGGAGCGAAACCCAUAAAAACAGUCUCAGUUCGGAUUGAAGUCUGCAACUCGACUUCAUGAAGUCGGAAUCGCUAGUAAUCGCGGAUCAGAACGCCGCGGUGAAUACGUUCUCGGGGUUU